Molecule: transfer RNA, 86 nt
Filed under: Candidatus Woesebacteria bacterium
Lineage: Bacteria; Candidatus Woeseibacteriota
Description: tRNA-Ser
Rfam family: tRNA
About the family: Transfer RNA (tRNA) molecules are approximately 80 nucleotides in length.
Source: RNAcentral
GGAAGCGUCGCAUAGCGGUCAAUUGCACACGCUUGGAAAGCGUGAGCCUCACGGCUUCGUGGGUUCAAAUCCCACCGCUUCCGCCA